Molecule: long non-coding RNA, 173 nt
Organism: Polypterus senegalus (gray bichir)
Lineage: Eukaryota; Metazoa; Chordata; Cladistia; Polypteriformes; Polypteridae
Exons: 3
Source: RefSeq, a predicted model, not a curated record
CGCGCAACUGCCCGUCUUUUCUUCUCGGUCCUCCCUUGAAACGGAGAAUGAAAGAUUAAGAAAACUAAUUUGCAAAGUGACAAAUAACUGCAGGAGUUCACACAAGGCCAGACAUAUCCUGAAAUCUGCAGAUGACUCCCUCAUUCAUGGAUGGAUUAAAAGCCAGAAGUCUG